This 384-nucleotide long non-coding RNA is filed under the name Daucus carota (carrot). Its description in RNAcentral is "long non-coding RNA (DCAR_LNC003125)". Lineage: Eukaryota; Viridiplantae; Streptophyta; Magnoliopsida; Apiales; Apiaceae. The record is from RNAcentral.
UAGGUCUUUUCACCCAUUCUCUCAUCCUCUGUCCUUACUACUCUUUCAAAAUCACCCACCGUCGCCACCACGCCAACACGUCGAACCUUGACCGUGAAGAGGCCUAUGUGCCGCAAACAAAACCUGAUCCGAAUUCAUGGUACUGGGGAAUUUACGGUACAUCAGGUCGUAUUGGCGUGCUACUCUUUAAAGUCACAUUAGGCUGGCCUUCUUAUCUUUUGUUCAACAUGGCUGGAAGAGGUUACAACAAAUUCGCCAACCAUUUCUACCCCUACAGUCCCAUGUAUUCGGCUCGUGAGCGAAUCGAAAUCUUGAUCUCGAAUGCAGGGAUUCUCGCAAUGCUUUACGCGCUCUAUCUUCUAACCGUCGCCAAAGGUCUUUCCC